RNAcentral lists this unclassified non-coding RNA (298 nucleotides) under Tulasnellaceae sp. RNAcentral describes it as "partial contains 5.8S ribosomal RNA, internal transcribed spacer 2, and large subunit ribosomal RNA". Lineage: Eukaryota; Fungi; Basidiomycota; Agaricomycetes; Cantharellales; Tulasnellaceae. The record is from RNAcentral.
CGCACUGCACUAUCCGGACGACACCCCCGUGAUAGUAUGCCCCAUUGAGCGUUAUUUGUUCAUUCAGACAUCAAGGUGUUUGCUCACCAUGGUGGAUGAGUUCGAGGUCCACACCGCACUGUGCGUUCCUUGAGAUUUAUUAGCAACCAUGGUCUACCCAGUGCCCAUCCUGUGAUGAUUUUGCAGGCCAGAGCUCGGGUUUGGCUGGUGCUGACAGCUGCCUCUCACUGGCACAAUGGCCUCUGUGCCCACUCUUCGUACAUAACCUCAGUGGGGUAGGAUUACCCGCUAGACUUAA